RNAcentral lists this ribosomal RNA (2234 nucleotides) under Salmonella enterica. RNAcentral's name for it is "bacterial LSU rRNA". It matches the Rfam family "Bacterial large subunit ribosomal RNA", at positions 594 to 2812 of the family's 2925-position model. Lineage: Bacteria; Pseudomonadati; Pseudomonadota; Gammaproteobacteria; Enterobacterales; Enterobacteriaceae. RNAcentral also lists the same sequence under 21 other names. The record is from RNAcentral.
UGACUGCGUACCUUUUGUAUAAUGGGUCAGCGACUUAUAUUCUGUAGCAAGGUUAACCGAAUAGGGGAGCCGGAGGGAAACCGAGUCUUAAUUGGGCGUUAAGUUGCAGGGUAUAGACCCGAAACCCGGUGAUCUAGCCAUGGGCAGGUUGAAGGUUGGGUAACACUAACUGGAGGACCGAACCGACUAAUGUUGAAAAAUUAGCGGAUGACCUGUGGCUGGGGGUGAAAGGCCAAUCAAACCGGGAGAUAGCUGGUUCUCCCCGAAAGCUAUUUAGGUAGCGCCUCGUGAAUUCAUCUCCGGGGGUAGAGCACUGUUUCGGCUAGGGGGCCAUCCCGGCUUACCAACCCGAUGCAAACUGCGAAUACCGGAGAAUGUUAUCACGGGAGACACACGGCGGGUGCUAACGUCCGUCGUGAAGAGGGAAACAACCCAGACCGCCAGCUAAGGUCCCAAAGUCAUGGUUAAGUGGGAAACGAUGUGGGAAGGCCCAGACAGCCAGGAUGUUGGCUUAGAAGCAGCCAUCAUUUAAAGAAAGCGUAAUAGCUCACUGGUCGAGUCGGCCUGCGCGGAAGAUGUAACGGGGCUAAACCAUGCACCGAAGCUGCGGCAGCGACACUGUGUGUUGUUGGGUAGGGGAGCGUUCUGUAAGCCUGUGAAGGUGUGUCGUGAGGCAUGCUGGAGGUAUCAGAAGUGCGAAUGCUGACAUAAGUAACGAUAAAGCGGGUGAAAAGCCCGCUCGCCGGAAGACCAAGGGUUCCUGUCCAACGUUAAUCGGGGCAGGGUGAGUCGACCCCUAAGGCGAGGCCGAAAGGCGUAGUCGAUGGGAAACGGGUUAAUAUUCCCGUACUUGGUGUUACUGCGAAGGGGGGACGGAGAAGGCUAUGUUGGCCGGGCGACGGUUGUCCCGGUUUAAGCGUGUAGGUGUGUGUUCCAGGUAAAUCCGGUUCACUUUAACACUGAGGCGUGACGACGAGGCACUACGGUGCUGAAGCAACAAAUGCCCUGCUUCCAGGAAAAGCCUCUAAGCAUCAGGUAACAUCAAAUCGUACCCCAAACCGACACAGGUGGUCAGGUAGAGAAUACCAAGGCGCUUGAGAGAACUCGGGUGAAGGAACUAGGCAAAAUGGUGCCGUAACUUCGGGAGAAGGCACGCUGACACGUAGGUGAAGUGAUUUACUCAUGGAGCUGAAGUCAGUCGAAGAUACCAGCUGGCUGCAACUGUUUAUUAAAAACACAGCACUGUGCAAACACGAAAGUGGACGUAUACGGUGUGACGCCUGCCCGGUGCCGGAAGGUUAAUUGAUGGGGUCAGCGCAAGCGAAGCUCCUGAUCGAAGCCCCGGUAAACGGCGGCCGUAACUAUAACGGUCCUAAGGUAGCGAAAUUCCUUGUCGGGUAAGUUCCGACCUGCACGAAUGGCGUAAUGAUGGCCAGGCUGUCUCCACCCGAGACUCAGUGAAAUUGAACUCGCUGUGAAGAUGCAGUGUACCCGCGGCAAGACGGAAAGACCCCGUGAACCUUUACUAUAGCUUGACACUGAACAUUGAGCCUUGAUGUGUAGGAUAGGUGGGAGGCUUUGAAGUGUGGACGCCAGUCUGCAUGGAGCCGACCUUGAAAUACCACCCUUUAAUGUUUGAUGUUCUAACGUGGACCCGUUACCCGGGUUGCGGACAGUGUCUGGUGGGUAGUUUGACUGGGGCGGUCUCCUCCUAAAGAGUAACGGAGGAGCACGAAGGUUGGCUAAUCCUGGUCGGACAUCAGGAGGUUAGUGCAAUGGCAUAAGCCAGCUUGACUGCGAGCGUGACGGCGCGAGCAGGUGCGAAAGCAGGUCAUAGUGAUCCGGUGGUUCUGAAUGGAAGGGCCAUCGCUCAACGGAUAAAAGGUACUCCGGGGAUAACAGGCUGAUACCGCCCAAGAGUUCAUAUCGACGGCGGUGUUUGGCACCUCGAUGUCGGCUCAUCACAUCCUGGGGCUGAAGUAGGUCCCAAGGGUAUGGCUGUUCGCCAUUUAAAGUGGUACGCGAGCUGGGUUUAGAACGUCGUGAGACAGUUCGGUCCCUAUCUGCCGUGGGCGCUGGAGAACUGAGGGGGGCUGCUCCUAGUACGAGAGGACCGGAGUGGACGCAUCACUGGUGUUCGGGUUGUCAUGCCAAUGGCACUGCCCGGUAGCUAAAUGCGGAAGAGAUAAGUGCUGAAAGCAUCUAAGCACGAAACUUGCCCCGAGAUGAGUUCU